This 253-nucleotide ribosomal RNA is filed under the name uncultured bacterium. Its description in RNAcentral is "partial 16S ribosomal RNA". It matches the Rfam family "Bacterial small subunit ribosomal RNA", at positions 524 to 776 of the family's 1533-position model. The record is from RNAcentral.
UACGUAGGGUCCGAGCGUUGUCCGGAAUUAUUGGGCGUAAAGAGCUCGUAGGCGGUUUGUCGCGUCUGCUGUGAAAACCCGGAGCUCAACUCCGGGCCUGCAGUCGAUACGGGCAAACUAGAGUGUUGCAGGGGAGACUGGAAUUCCUGGUGUAGCGGUGAAAUGCGCAGAUAUCAGGAGGAACACCGGUGGCGAAGGCGGGUCUCUGGGCAACAACUGACGCUGAGGAGCGAAAGCGUGGGGAGCAAACAGG